Molecule: ribosomal RNA, 429 nt
Filed under: uncultured bacterium
Lineage: Bacteria
Description: bacterial SSU rRNA
Rfam family: Bacterial small subunit ribosomal RNA
Source: RNAcentral
UAGGGAAUAUUGCGCAAUGGACGAAAGUCUGACGCAGCAACGCCGCGUGGGUGAUGAAGCAUUUCGGUGUGUAAAACCCUGUCAGUGGGGAAGAAAAGUAUCGAGAGUAACUGCUCGGUACCUGACGGUACCCGCAGAGGAAGUCCCGGCUAACUCCGUGCCAGCAGCCGCGGUAAUACGGGGGGGACAAGCGUUGUUCGGAUUUACUGGGCGUAAAGGGCGCGUAGGCGGGCCUUCAAGUCGGAUGUGAAACCUGGCGGCUUAACCACCAGCCUGCAUUCGAUACUGUCGGUCUUGAGUAUGGGAGAGGAGAAUGGAAUUUCAGGUGUAGCGGUGAAAUGCGUAGAUAUCUGAAAGAACACCAGUAGCGAAGGCGGUUCUCUGGACCAAUACUGACGCUAAAGCGCGAAGGCUUGGGGAGCAAACAGG